Molecule: transfer RNA, 65 nt
Filed under: Sphaerodactylus townsendi
Lineage: Eukaryota; Metazoa; Chordata; Lepidosauria; Squamata; Sphaerodactylidae
Description: tRNA-Leu
Source: RNAcentral
GGAGAGGCUAUGCUCAGUGGUAGAGCACAAGCAGAAGGUCCCAGGUUCAAUCCCUGUUGUCUCCA